Molecule: ribosomal RNA, 490 nt
Filed under: uncultured bacterium
Lineage: Bacteria
Description: partial 16S ribosomal RNA
Rfam family: Bacterial small subunit ribosomal RNA
Source: RNAcentral
AGUGAACGCUGGCGGUAGGCCUAACACAUGCAAGUCGAACGGCAGCACAGGAGAGCUUGCUCUCUAGGUGGCGAGUGGCGGACGGGUGAGGAAUACAUCGGAAUCUGCCCAGUCGUGGGGGAUAACGUAGGGAAACUUACGCUAAUACCGCAUACGACCUUCGGGUGAAAGAGGGGGAUCGCAAGACCUCUCGCGAUUGGAUGAGCCGAUGUCGGAUUAGCUAGUUAGCGGGGUAAUGGCCCACCAAGGCGACGAUCCGUAGCUGGUCUGAGAGGAUGAUCAGCCACACUGGAACUGAGACACGGUCCAGACUCCUACGGGAGGCAGCAGUGGGGAAUAUUGGACAAUGGGCGCAAGCCUGAUCCAGCCAUACCGCGUGGGUGAAGAAGGCCUUCGGGUUGUAAAGCCCUUUUGUUGGGAAAGAAAUCUUUCAGGCUAAUACCCUGGGAGGAUGACGGUACCCAAGGAAUAAGCACCGGCUAACUUCGUG